RNAcentral lists this transfer RNA (77 nucleotides) under Acidobacteriota bacterium. RNAcentral describes it as "tRNA-Asp". It matches the Rfam family "tRNA". From Rfam's summary of the family: Transfer RNA (tRNA) molecules are approximately 80 nucleotides in length. Lineage: Bacteria; Pseudomonadati; Acidobacteriota. RNAcentral also lists the same sequence under 5 other names. The record is from RNAcentral.
GGGGUCGUAGUUCAGUUGGUUAGAAUGCCGGCCUGUCACGCCGGAGGUCGCGGGUUCGAGUCCCGUCGGCCCCGCCA